UACGUAGGGUCCGAGCGUUGUCCGGAAUUAUUGGGCGUAAAGGGCUCGUAGGCGGUCCGUCACGUCGGGAGUGAAAACUCAGGGCUCAACCCUGAGCGUGCUUCCGAUACGGGCGGACUAGAGGUAUGCAGGGGAGAACGGAAUUCCUGGUGUAGCGGUGAAAUGCGCAGAUAUCAGGAGGAACACCGGUGGCGAAGGCGGUUCUCUGGGCAUUACCUGACGCUGAGGAGCGAAAGCAUGGGGAGCGAACAGG
This 253-nucleotide ribosomal RNA is filed under the name uncultured bacterium. Its description in RNAcentral is "partial 16S ribosomal RNA". It matches the Rfam family "Bacterial small subunit ribosomal RNA", at positions 524 to 776 of the family's 1533-position model. The record is from RNAcentral.